GCGAGAGUGGCGGAAUUGGCAAACGCACUGGACUUAGGAUCCAGCGCCCUCGGGCUUGGGGGUUCGACUCCCCCCUCUCGCACCA
RNAcentral lists this transfer RNA (85 nucleotides) under Desulfacinum infernum DSM 9756. Its description in RNAcentral is "tRNA_Leu_TAG". It matches the Rfam family "tRNA". From Rfam's summary of the family: Transfer RNA (tRNA) molecules are approximately 80 nucleotides in length. Lineage: Bacteria; Pseudomonadati; Thermodesulfobacteriota; Syntrophobacteria; Syntrophobacterales; Syntrophobacteraceae. The record is from RNAcentral. RNAcentral also lists the same sequence under 1 other name.